UUGCAACAGCGUGCGGCACGAUU
Molecule: microRNA, 23 nt
Filed under: Drosophila melanogaster (fruit fly)
Lineage: Eukaryota; Metazoa; Arthropoda; Insecta; Diptera; Drosophilidae
Description: dme-miR-4987-5p
Source: miRBase by way of RNAcentral